UUCCCUGUAUCUCAGUUGGUAGAGCAUGGUGUUUGCAACGCCAGGGUUGUGGGUUCAAUUCCCACAGGGGGGC
This 73-nucleotide transfer RNA is filed under the name Salmo salar (Atlantic salmon). It matches the Rfam family "tRNA". From Rfam's summary of the family: Transfer RNA (tRNA) molecules are approximately 80 nucleotides in length. The record is from Rfam by way of RNAcentral. Lineage: Eukaryota; Metazoa; Chordata; Actinopteri; Salmoniformes; Salmonidae.